Molecule: ribosomal RNA, 287 nt
Filed under: Rhinobothryum lentiginosum
Lineage: Eukaryota; Metazoa; Chordata; Lepidosauria; Squamata; Colubridae
Description: partial 12S ribosomal RNA
Source: RNAcentral
AAAGACUUGACGGUACCUCAAAACAACCUAGAGGAGCCUGUCAAAUAACCGAUAAUCCACGAUUAACCCAACCCACACUAGCCCACCAGCCUAUAUACCACCGUCGCCAGCCUACCUUAUGAAAGAAACAAAGUAAGCCAAAUAGCCAUACACUAAAACGACAGGUCGAGGUGUAGCUCAUGAGUGGGUCCAAGAUGGGCUACACUUUCUACUACAGAAAACACGAAUAAACUAUGAAACAAGAAACUGAAGGAGGAUUUAGAAGUAUAUUAGGAAUAAAAUACCUA